UUACUGUAUCUUUAAAAGUUAGUCUAAAAAGGUUCAGCCUUUUAGAAAUGGGUACAACCUUCACUAGAGAGUAAGACUUUACAACACCAUAGUAGGCCUAAAAGCAGCCAUCAAUUAAGAAAGCGUUAAAGCUCAACAAUAAAAAUAAAAUUAAUCCCAACAAUAAUACAGCUAACUCCUAGACCUAAUACUGGACUAUUCUAUUAUUAAAUAGAAGCAAUAAUGUUAAUAUGAGUAACAAGAAAUAUUUUCUCCUUGCACAAGUUUAAGUCAGUAUCUGAUAAUAUUCUGACUGUUAACAGUAAAUAAAAACAACCCAACAAUAAAUAAUUUAUUAAUUGUACUGUUAACCCAACACAGGGGUGCACCCAGGAAAGAUUAAAAGAAGUAAAAGGAA
This 397-nucleotide ribosomal RNA is filed under the name Capra hircus (goat). RNAcentral's name for it is "partial large subunit ribosomal RNA". The record is from RNAcentral. Lineage: Eukaryota; Metazoa; Chordata; Mammalia; Artiodactyla; Bovidae.